This 372-nucleotide ribosomal RNA is filed under the name Meloidogyne hapla. RNAcentral describes it as "partial 16S ribosomal RNA". Lineage: Eukaryota; Metazoa; Nematoda; Chromadorea; Rhabditida; Meloidogynidae. The record is from RNAcentral.
UUUUAUUUUGAUAUUAUUUUUUAUUGUUGAAAAAAUUAAUAAUAAUUUAUUGUUAAUAAAAAUUAAAAUUUAUAAUAUUUUUAUUUUUAUUUUUUAGUUUUAAAUAAAAAAAAUAAAAUUUAUAUAUAUAAAAAUUUUGUUAUAAAUUAUAAUAGUUUAUUUAUUUGUUUUUUAUAAUAAAUAAUAGUAUUUUUUUUAUUAUUUUAUAAAAAAAAAUAAUUUAAUUAUAAUUAUUAAAAGUAAUUUUGUUAUUUAGAAUAAUAUAUUAAUAUAAAUAACAAAAAUAUUAAAUAUUUUUUAAAUUUUUUGGGGAUUUAAGUUAUAAUUUUUUGUGUCUGCUCAAUGAAUUUAAAUAGCACUUUUAGCGUGUAG